This 568-nucleotide ribosomal RNA is filed under the name uncultured bacterium. RNAcentral's name for it is "partial 16S ribosomal RNA". It matches the Rfam family "Bacterial small subunit ribosomal RNA", at positions 355 to 1376 of the family's 1533-position model. The record is from RNAcentral.
UGGGGAAUAUUGCACAAUGGGCGAAAGCCUGAUGCAGCGACGCCGCGUGAGGGAUGACGGCCUUCGGGUUGUAAACCUCUUUCAGCAGGGAAGAAGCGAAAGUGACGGUACCUGCAGAAGAAGCGCCGGCUAACUACGUGCCAGCAGCCGCGGUAAUACGUAGGGCGCAAGCGUUGUCCGGAAUUAUUGGGCGUAAAGAGCUCGUAGGCGGUUAGUCGCGUCUGCUGUGAGAACUCGAGGCUCAACCUCGGGCUUGCAGUGGGUACGGGCUGACUAGAGUGCGGUAGGGGUGACUGGAAUUCCUGGUGUAGCGGUGGAAUGCGCAGAUAUCAGGAGGAACACCGAUGGCGAAGGCAGGUCACUGGGCCGCAACUGACGCUGAGGAGCGAAAGCAUGGGGAGCGAACAGGAUUAGAUACCCUGGUAGUCCAUGCCGUAAACGUUGGGCACUAGGUGUGGGGUCCAUUCCACGGAUUCCGUGCCGCAGCAAACGCAUUAAGUGCCCCGCCUGGGGAGUACGGCCGCAAGGCUAAACUCAAAGGAAUUGACGGGGUCAUAGCUGUUUCCUG